GGAUUUAGAACUUUGAGCUACAGCGAAUGUGAGUUUAAGGUGAGUCUUUAUUUUGACUCAUAUAUUUUAAAUUAUAAUGGAAAUUAGUAUGUUGAUGCCAUUUCAUAUAAUUGAUGGUGUAAGUGUGUAUACGAAGUAUUGUAAAGAUUCUGCAUGUGCAAGAAUGAUAAGUGUGAAGUACUGCCUGAAUAAGAAGUUGAGUGGUAAGUAUGCAUGUAAAAUUUCGAUAUGGGAGAGUAUGAAUCAGUCAGGUAUGUGAACAAAUCUAGGUAAGUGAAUUCCGAGUAAAACAUCCAUUUUUUAUGCUUCUAGUAGAGCAGUUACAUUACUAACCAGACUGGCAGAUCAUGAUAUGAAAACAUGUGUAAGUCCAUAUGGUAGAGACCAAUGGCAUUAUAUGACAACGAAAAU
Molecule: long non-coding RNA, 411 nt
Filed under: Gossypium raimondii (Peruvian cotton)
Lineage: Eukaryota; Viridiplantae; Streptophyta; Magnoliopsida; Malvales; Malvaceae
Description: long non-coding RNA (GRAI_LNC008689)
Source: RNAcentral